AUUGAACGCUGGCGGCAGGCCUAACACAUGCAAGUCGAGCGAGUGGCGGACGGGUGAGUAAUGCCUGGGAAACUGCCUGAUGGAGGGGGACAACUACUGGAAACGGUAACCAAUACCGCAAACCAUCAGAUGUGCCCAGAUGGGAUUAGCUAGUAGGUGGGGUAACGGCUCACCUAGGCGACGAUCCCUAGCUGGUCUGAGAGGAUGACCAGCAAAACUGGAACUGGGACACGGUCCAGACGCCUACGGGAGUCAGCAGUGGGGAAUAUUGCACAAUGGGCGCAAGCCUGAUGCAGCCAUGCCGCGUGUGUGAAGAGGGCCUUCGGGUUGUAAAGCACUUUCAGCGGGGAGGCGUUACCCGCAGAAGAAGCACCGGCUAACUCCGUGCCAGCAGCCGCGGUAAUAC
This 406-nucleotide ribosomal RNA is filed under the name uncultured bacterium. RNAcentral describes it as "partial 16S ribosomal RNA". It matches the Rfam family "Bacterial small subunit ribosomal RNA", at positions 29 to 526 of the family's 1533-position model. The record is from RNAcentral.